RNAcentral lists this ribosomal RNA (254 nucleotides) under uncultured bacterium. RNAcentral describes it as "partial 16S ribosomal RNA". It matches the Rfam family "Bacterial small subunit ribosomal RNA", at positions 524 to 776 of the family's 1533-position model. The record is from RNAcentral.
UACGUAGGGUCCGAGCGUUGUCCGGAAUUAUUGGGCGUAAAGGGCUCGUAGGCGGUCUGUCGCGUCGGGGAGUGAAAACUUACAGCUUAACUGUGAGCGUGCUUCCGAUACGGGCAGACUUGAGGUAUUCAGGGGAGAACGGAAUUCCUGGUGUAGCGGUGAAAUGCGCAGAUAUCAGGAGGAACACCGGUGGCGAAGGCGGUUCUCUGGGAAUAUCCUGACGCUGAGGAGCGAAAGUGUGGGGAGCGAACAGG